This 811-nucleotide ribosomal RNA is filed under the name uncultured archaeon. RNAcentral's name for it is "bacterial SSU rRNA". It matches the Rfam family "Archaeal small subunit ribosomal RNA", at positions 85 to 879 of the family's 1478-position model. The record is from RNAcentral.
ACUGCUCAGUAACACGUGGCUAAUCUGCCCUUGGGACCGGAACACCCCCGGGAAACUGGGGCUAAUUCUCGAUAGGUGAAGAACUCUGGAACGAGUCUUUGCCAAAAAGUUGUCAGGGUUAUGCUCUCUGAUAACGCCCAAGGAUGAGGCCGCGACCGAUCAGGUUGUUGGUGAGGUAAUGGCUCACCAAGCCAUUUACCGGUGCGGGCCGUGAGAGCGGGAGCCCGGAGAUGGGCACUGAGACAAGGGCCCAGGCCCUACGGGGCGCAGCAGUCGCGAAAACUUUGCAAUAAGCGAAAGCUUGACAGGGCUAUCCCGAGUGCCAUCCGCUGAGGAAGGCUUUUACCCAGUCUAGAACGCUGGGGGAAUAAGGAGAGGGCAAGUCUGGUGUCAGCCGCCGCGGUAAUACCAGCUCUCCGAGUGGUGUGGAUGUUUAUUGGGCCUAAAGCAUCCGUAGCUGGCUAAGUUAGUCCCUUGUUAAAUCCACCGAAUUAAUCGUUGGAUUGCGGGGGAUACUGCUUGGCUAGGGGACGAGAGAGGCAGACGGUAUUUCCGGGGUAGGGGUGAAAUCCUAUAAUCCCGGGAAGACCACCAGUGGCGAAGGCUGUCUGCUAGAACGCGCCCGACGGUGAGGGAUGAAAGCUGGGGGAGCGAACCGGAUUAGAUACCCGGGUAGUCCCAGCUGUAAACGAUGCAGACUAGGUGUUUGGACGGCCACGUGCCGUUCUAGUGCCGCAGGGAAGCUGUUAAGUCUGCCGCCUGGGGAGUACGAUCGCAAGAUUGAAACUUAAAGGAAUUGGCGGGGGAGCAC